RNAcentral lists this long non-coding RNA (1137 nucleotides) under Phascolarctos cinereus (koala). RNAcentral describes it as "lncRNA (ENSPCIG00000028811.2)". The record is from RNAcentral. Lineage: Eukaryota; Metazoa; Chordata; Mammalia; Diprotodontia; Phascolarctidae.
AAAAAGGUGAAGACCUGUGAUGUAUUGAGAGAAAAGGAGAGGACCCAUCCCAGAACCCACAGCAGGAAGGACAUGGUCGGCGAGCCUGGCUGCAGAGGAAACCCAAGCUCACACUAGAGAGGGAGGAGCAUCUGGGAGAAAGGGCUGAGCAACAGCGCCAAAGGUUAUGCAGAAGCUGGGGAUGAGGACUGAGAAAAGGCCAUUGGAAAGAGCCAGACUCCCAAAGGUUGGGAAGGGAGUGGAAGGUAAGAAAGCGGAGGCAGCCACUGGACACCGCUUAUCCAGAACUCGGUCUAAGAAAGAGGAAGGAAGAUACCAGCAGGCAGGUCGAGGGCUAUCUGUCCAAACUGGGCUGCAGCUGAGAGCAGGCAGUGAAAUCCUGCAGAAUCAGAGACUCUCCGAACUCCAAAAUGUCUGAGCUGGGAGAGCUCUCAAGCUUCCCGAACUCAGAACACAGAAGGGGAGAGUCGGGAGGAAGCUCGAAGUCCAUCCAGUCUAGGUCCUCAAGUGUGGCCUUUUGACUGAACCCAAACUUCACAGGGCAAAGCCCCUUAGUCUGAUGACCAAGACAUUGAGGCCCAGGGAAGGGAAAGGUCACUCCGGAUGUUAGGGGCAGAGCCUGUUCUGACCGCAAUCUGUUCUCCCGAUCCUCUUUCUGCUGAAAUCCCAGGACACCUGGUCUCCCAGCAACAGCAGGCUCUGAUGAGAAGUGCAGGCAGGGAACGGCUUCAGAACUCCCCCGAGACGAAAGAGCCUUGGCACCUCAGCUUCCUGGUCCCAGGGCCGCCCCAGACAAAGCAUCAGCCAAAAUCCAGGGCCCCAGGGGUAGUUUCUGCCUCUCUAUCUCUCCAGGCCACCCCAGCUCUCAGCUCUCCGCAUGGCCUGGGGAACGUUGCUGGUGCUUUUCUUGUUGGAAACGGAGGGACGGCUGCCAUCCUGGUGCACAGAUAUGGGAGGCCGAGAUGGUCCUGCUUCCCUUCAGCAAUAGCUCUGAAAAGCUACAUGGUGCCUGGGACAAUUGUGGGCUCUUCGAGGCAGUUGGCUGUGAUAAUUUUUCCAUAUGACAAACGUGUCGUCCGUCCUGCGGCCCAAUCUCUACUUCCGUCCCAGCACUGGCAGACUUGGUGUCAGAGGUGA